Molecule: ribosomal RNA, 504 nt
Filed under: uncultured bacterium
Lineage: Bacteria
Description: bacterial SSU rRNA
Rfam family: Bacterial small subunit ribosomal RNA
Source: RNAcentral
CCUGGCUCAGGGAUGAACGCUGGCGGCAGGCUUAAUACAUGCAAGUCGAACGGUAAGGCCGAUCGUAGCGAAUACGGGAGGCACACGAGUGGCGCACGGGUGCGUAACGCGUAUGCAACCCUGCCCCGACCGGGACAAAACGCUGAGAAAUCGGCGCUAAUAUCCCAUGCUGAUGCGGAGCGGCAUCGCUUUGCAUCGAAAGAUUGAUUGGUCGGGGAUGGGCAUGCGUGCCAUUAGCUAGUUGGUGGGGUAAGGGCCCACCAAGGCGACGAUGGCUAGGGGUUCUGAGAGGAAGGUCCCCCACACUGGAACUGAGACACGGUCCAGACUCCUACGGGAGGCAGCAGUAGGGAAUAUUGGGCAAUGGGAGCAAUCCUGACCCAGCCAUGCCGCGUGCAGGAAGACGGCCCUAUGGGUUGUAAACUGCUUUUGCCGGGGAGUAACCCCGGGGACGUGUCCCCGGCUGAGAGUACCCGGCGAAUAAGCACCGGCUAACUCCGUGCC